ACUAACAUUAUUCAUCGUGUCAUUUUUCAUGUCGGGAGUUGGAGCCUUUUUUUCUGACUGACGGCCGGAAUGCCGCCAAAAGGCUGAUAACAUCGACUGUUUGUGGUCAUGUCGUCUGCAUCGGAGGUGUAUUUGAGUCUUGUGAUUGCCAUCGUAGCGGUGCUAACAACAGGUUCAUUCAGACAGUCAACAUUUGUGGCACCAAACGCAUUGAAAGUCACAGAUCAGCUGGAAUUUUGGAAAGAGG
Sinocyclocheilus anshuiensis is the source of this 247-nucleotide long non-coding RNA. RefSeq lists it as uncharacterized. The record is from RefSeq and is a predicted model, not a curated record. Lineage: Eukaryota; Metazoa; Chordata; Actinopteri; Cypriniformes; Cyprinidae. The transcript has 3 exons.